AUGCGGACAGCGCGCGGGGUGUGCUUGUUGGGCGUGGCCCCAGAGUCUCGGCGACCGUCCAUCGGGCAAGGUACCCCGACCCGUCCGGAGGCGUGGGCGGUGCUGCGGCGCGCGAGGUCGAGCCCGGUGUGCCGGUGCCUGACGGGGACUGUGCGCAAGUUGGGCUGCCGGCUGGCUCUGACCUCUUUGCCGCCGGAGGUGCUUGACGUGAGGUGGGAUGUGGUCGUCGGCGGCGGGCCGAGCAGGGCAGGUCCCGGGGAGCCGGGGCGGAUGGGCGCCAUAUACACGACGACCGCACUCGCGCCCGCGGGGGGCGAAGCGGUGGACGUGGCGGUGCACGAGAUGAACCGGACGACGGGAAGAUCUGAUGCCACAACCAGUCUUCUCUACCGAGCGGCGCCAUGGCUGUCGGCCGACGAGCGCCUCACCGCGGCUGCUGGCCAACAAGGAAAAGGGGAGCACGGGUGCUAG
Molecule: ribosomal RNA, 471 nt
Filed under: Triticum aestivum (bread wheat)
Lineage: Eukaryota; Viridiplantae; Streptophyta; Magnoliopsida; Poales; Poaceae
Description: partial small subunit ribosomal RNA
Source: RNAcentral